Molecule: unclassified non-coding RNA, 341 nt
Filed under: uncultured bacterium
Lineage: Bacteria
Description: contains 16S-23S intergenic spacer region
Source: RNAcentral
UCCGAGUUGACCCCGGCAGUCUUCGAUGAGUCCCCGCCAUAACGCGCUGGCAACAUCGAACGAGGGUUGCGCUCGUUGCGGGACUUAACCCAACAUCUCACGACACGAGCCGACGACAGCCAUGCACCACGGCUGUCACCUACAUGUCAAGCCCAGGUAAGGUUCUUCGCGUUGCGUCGAAUUAAACCACAUGCUCCACCGCUUGUGCAGGCCCCCGUCAAUUCCUUUGAGUUUUAAUCUUGCGACCGUACUCCCCAGGCGGAUAACUUAACGCGUUAGCUGCGCCACCCAAGCACCAAGUGCCCGGACAGCUAGUUAUCAUCGUUUACGGCGUGGACUAC